ACUACUCGGGGUUAUUAUAAGGUUAAAAAUCCAGGGACUUGUAUAACAGUUGCCUUUCUGAUCUAACAUGUUGAGGUUUGUUUAGAGUGUCGGGGCGGUAAUAGUUUUAGUCUUAAUUUGUCUCAAGUUUGAUAAAAUAAGCAACUUUUAUACUUACUGAGUGUGUUGAAUAUUUGUUAUGGCUCAUGAAAAUUUUUGAGGGAAUAGAUAAUAGAAAUUUUUCACACUAGGGACUUAACUUAAAAUAAAUCUAUAUUAUAAGAAAUAUUUUUCUUUUAUAAGAGAAAUAACAAUGAAAAGAAAGGUACAUACUUGAAGAAGGGAGGAUAGAAAGAACGCGGUUUUCCCCCCCAUACUUAAAUGAAACAUUGUCCCC
RNAcentral lists this long non-coding RNA (376 nucleotides) under Lathyrus oleraceus (garden pea). Its description in RNAcentral is "Pisum sativum (pea) long non-coding RNA (PSAT_LNC031778)". The record is from RNAcentral. Lineage: Eukaryota; Viridiplantae; Streptophyta; Magnoliopsida; Fabales; Fabaceae.